UCCUACGGGAGGCAGCAGUGGGGAAUAUUGGACAAUGGGCGGAAGCCUGAUCCAGCAACGCCGCGUGAGGGAUGACGGCCUUCGGGUUGUAAACCUCUUUCAGCACAGACGAAGCGCAAGUGACGGUAUGUGCAGAAGAAGGACCGGCCAACUACGUGCCAGCAGCCGCGGUAAUACGUAGGGUCCGAGCGUUGUCCGGAAUUAUUGGGCGUAAAGGGCUCGUAGGCGGUCUGUCGCGUCGGGAGUGAAAACCAGGUGCUUAACACCUGGCCUGCUUUCGAUACGGGCAGACUAGAGGUACUCAGGGGAGAAUGGAAUUCCUGGUGUAGCGGUGAAAUGCGCAACUAUCUGAGUACC
Molecule: ribosomal RNA, 357 nt
Filed under: uncultured Nocardioides sp.
Lineage: Bacteria; Bacillati; Actinomycetota; Actinomycetes; Propionibacteriales; Nocardioidaceae
Description: bacterial SSU rRNA
Rfam family: Bacterial small subunit ribosomal RNA
Source: RNAcentral